This 881-nucleotide ribosomal RNA is filed under the name Stachybotrys sp. RNAcentral's name for it is "partial large subunit ribosomal RNA". It matches the Rfam family "Eukaryotic large subunit ribosomal RNA", at positions 37 to 954 of the family's 3401-position model. The record is from RNAcentral. Lineage: Eukaryota; Fungi; Ascomycota; Sordariomycetes; Hypocreales; Stachybotryaceae.
AGCAUAUCAAUAAGCGGAGGAAAAGAAACCAACAGGGAUUGCCUCAGUAACGGCGAGUGAAGCGGCAACAGCUCAAAUUUGAAAUCUGGCUCCCGGGCCCGAGUUGUAAUUUGCAGAGGAUGCUUUUGGCGCGGUGCCUUCCGAGUUCCCUGGAACGGGACGCCAUAGAGGGUGAGAGCCCCGUCUGGUUGGACACCAAGCCUAUGUAAAGCUCCUUCGACGAGUCGAGUAGUUUGGGAAUGCUGCUCUAAAUGGGAGGUACAUGUCUUCUAAAGCUAAAUACCGGCCAGAGACCGAUAGCGCACAAGUAGAGUGAUCGAAAGAUGAAAAGCACUUUGGAAAGAGAGUUAAACAGCACGUGAAAUUGUUAAAAGGGAAGCGUUUAUGACCAGACGUGGGCCGGUUAAUCAUCCAGCGUUCUCGCUGGUGCACUUUGCCGGUCCAGGCCAGCAUCAGUUCGCCGCGGGGGAUAAAGGCGUCGGGAAUGUGGCUCCUCGGAGUGUUAUAGCCCUUCGCGCAAUACCCUGUGGUGGACUGAGGUUCGCGCACUGCAAGGAUGCUGGCGUAAUGGUCAUCAACGACCCGUCUUGAAACACGGACCAAGGAGUCGUCUUCGUAUGCGAGUGUUCGGGUGUAAAACCCCUACGCGAAAUGAAAGUGAACGCAGGUGAGAGCUUCGGCGCAUCAUCGACCGAUCCUGAUGUUCUCGGAUGGAUUUGAGUAAGAGCAUACGGGGCCGGACCCGAAAGAAGGUGAACUAUGCCUGUAUAGGGUGAAGCCAGAGGAAACUCUGGUGGAGGCUCGCAGCGGUUCUGACGUGCAAAUCGAUCGUCAAAUAUGGGCAUGGGGGCGAAAGACUAAUCGAACCUUCUAGUAGCUGG